This 200-nucleotide unclassified non-coding RNA is filed under the name Capnodiales sp. RNAcentral describes it as "partial internal transcribed spacer 2". The record is from RNAcentral. Lineage: Eukaryota; Fungi; Ascomycota; Dothideomycetes; Capnodiales.
UUAAGUUCAGCGGGUAUUCCUACCCGAUCCGAGGUCAACCUAAUCGAAUUCCGAUUGAAAUUCAUGGGUUCUAACGGCGUGGUCCGCCCCCAUCGCUAGCGAGAACUGUGUCGAAACGCUAAGUCGGGCGACGGCCAGCCGGUGAAAUUGGGGCGCGGGAGUGUCCCGGCGCCCAAUACCAAGCCAGGCUUGAUUGGAUU